RNAcentral lists this ribosomal RNA (496 nucleotides) under uncultured Glomus. RNAcentral describes it as "SSU rRNA". It matches the Rfam family "Eukaryotic small subunit ribosomal RNA", at positions 569 to 1070 of the family's 1831-position model. The record is from RNAcentral. Lineage: Eukaryota; Fungi; Glomeromycota; Glomeromycetes; Glomerales; Glomeraceae.
AGCAGCCGCGGUAAUUCCAGCUCCAAUAGCGUAUAUUAAAGUUGCUGCAGUUAAAAAGCUCGUAGUUGAAUUUCGGGACCAUCAUGUCGGUCGUGCCUCGGUACGUACUGGCAUUGUUGGUUUCUCCCUUCUGACGAACCAUGAUGUCAUUAAUUUGGUGUCUUGGGGAAUCAGGACUGUUACUUUGAAAAAAUUAGAGUGUUUAAAGCAGGCUCACGCUUGAAUACAUUAGCAUGGAAUAAUGAAAUAGGACGUUUGAUUCUAUUUUGUUGGUUUCUAGGAUCGACGUAAUGAUUAAUAGGGAUAGUUGGGGGCAUUAGUAUUCAAUUGUCAGAGGUGAAAUUCUUGGAUUUAUUGAAGACUAACUACUGCGAAAGCAUUUGCCAAGGAUGUUUUCAUUAAUCAAGAACGAAAGUUAGGGGAUCGAAGACGAUCAGAUACCGUCGUAGUCUUAACCAUAAACUAUGCCGACUAGGGAUCGGAUGAUGUUAAUUUU